Molecule: ribosomal RNA, 253 nt
Filed under: uncultured bacterium
Lineage: Bacteria
Description: partial 16S ribosomal RNA
Rfam family: Bacterial small subunit ribosomal RNA
Source: RNAcentral
CACGGGGGGAGCAAGCGUUGUUCGAAAUCACUGGGCGUAAAGCGUGCGUAGGCGGUCCGCGAAGUCUGAUGUGAAAGCCCCGGGCUCAACCUGGGAACUGCAUUGGAAACUAACGGGCUCGAGUGUGGCAGAGGGGGGUGGAAUUCCACGUGUAGCAGUGGAAUGCGUAGAUAUGCGGAGGAACACCGAUGGCGAAGGCAAUCCCCUGGACCUGUACUGACGCUCAUGCACGAAAGCGUGGGGAGCAAACAGG